This 253-nucleotide ribosomal RNA is filed under the name uncultured bacterium. Its description in RNAcentral is "partial 16S ribosomal RNA". It matches the Rfam family "Bacterial small subunit ribosomal RNA", at positions 524 to 776 of the family's 1533-position model. The record is from RNAcentral.
UACGGAGGGAGCUAGCGUUGUUCGGAAUUACUGGGCGUAAAGCGCACGUAGGCGGCAAUUCAAGUCGGGGGUGAAAGCCCGGGGCUCAACCCCGGAACUGCCCUCGAAACUAGAUAGCUAGAAUCUUGGAGAGGCGAGUGGAAUUCCGAGUGUAGAGGUGAAAUUCGUAGAUAUUCGGAAGAACACCAGUGGCGAAGGCGACUCGCUGGACAAGUAUUGACGCUGAGGUGCGAAAGCGUGGGGAGCAAACAGG